Molecule: ribosomal RNA, 646 nt
Filed under: Salmonella enterica subsp. enterica serovar Newport
Lineage: Bacteria; Pseudomonadati; Pseudomonadota; Gammaproteobacteria; Enterobacterales; Enterobacteriaceae
Description: partial 23S ribosomal RNA
Rfam family: Bacterial large subunit ribosomal RNA
Source: RNAcentral
AGAACCUGAAACCGUGUACGUACAAGCAGUGGGAGCACAGGUUUACCUGUGUGACUGCGUACCUUUUGUAUAAUGGGUCAGCGACUUAUAUUCUGUAGCAAGGUUAACCGUAUAGGGGAGCCGAAGGGAAACCGAGUCUUAACCGGGCGUUAAGUUGCAGGGUAUAGACCCGAAACCCGGUGAUCUAGCCAUGGGCAGGUUGAAGGUUGGGUAACACUAACUGGAGGACCGAACCGACUAAUGUUGAAAAAUUAGCGGAUGACCUGUGGCUGGGGGUGAAAGGCCAAUCAAACCGGGAGAUAGCUGGUUCUCCCCGAAAGCUAUUUAGGUAGCGCCUCGUGAAUUCAUCUCCGGGGGUAGAGCACUGUUUCGGCUAGGGGGCCAUCCCGGCUUACCAACCCGAUGCAAACUGCGAAUACCGGAGAAUGUUAUCACGGGAGACACACGGCGGGUGCUAACGUCCGUCGUGAAGAGGGAAACAACCCAGACCGCCAGCUAAGGUCCCAAAGUCAUGGUUAAGUGGGAAACGAUGUGGGAAGGCCCAGACAGCCAGGAUGUUGGCUUAGAAGCAGCCAUCAUUUAAAGAAAGCGUAAUAGCUCACUGGUCGAGUCGGCCUGCGCGGAAGAUGUAACGGGGCUAAACCAU